RNAcentral lists this ribosomal RNA (253 nucleotides) under uncultured bacterium. Its description in RNAcentral is "partial 16S ribosomal RNA". It matches the Rfam family "Bacterial small subunit ribosomal RNA", at positions 524 to 776 of the family's 1533-position model. The record is from RNAcentral.
UACGUAGGGGGCAAGCGUUGUCCGGAAUCAUUGGGCGUAAAGAGCGUGUAGGCGGCCCGGUAAGUCCGCUGUGAAAGUCCAGGGCUCAACCCUGGAAUGCCGGUGGAAACUGUCGGGCUAGAGUCCGGAAGAGGCGAGUGGAAUUCCUGGUGUAGCGGUGAAAUGCGCAGAUAUCAGGAGGAACACCGGAGGCGAAGGCGGCUUGCUGGACCUGGUCUGACGCUGAGGCGCGAAAGCGUGGGGAGCGAACAGG